This 45-nucleotide non-coding RNA is filed under the name Schistosoma margrebowiei. Lineage: Eukaryota; Metazoa; Platyhelminthes; Trematoda; Strigeidida; Schistosomatidae. The record is from RNAcentral.
AUCCAAGUGACGAGUCUCAAAUAGGACGAAAUGCGCGUCCUGAAU